ACUCCUACGGGAGGCAGCAGUAGGGAAUCUUCGGCAAUGGGGGCAACCCUGACCGAGCAACGCCGCGUGAGUGAAGAAGGUUUUCGGAUCGUAAAGCUCUGUUGUAAGUCAAGAACGAGUGUGAGAGUGGAAAGUUCACACUGUGACGGUAGCUUACUAGAAAGGGACGGCUAACUACGUGCCAGCAGCCGCGGUAAUACGGAGGUGCCGAGCGAUGUUCGGAUUUAUUGGGCGUAAAGCGAGCGCAGGCGGUUUGAUAAGUCUGAAGUUAAAGACUGUUGCUCAACCGUAGUUCGCUUUGGAAACUGUCAAACUUGAGUGCAGAAGGGGAGAGUGGAAUUCCAUGUGUAGCGGUGAAAUGCGUAGAUAUAUGGAGGAACACCGGUGGCGAAAGCGGCUCUCUGGUCUGUAACUGACGCUGAGGCUCGAAAGCGUGGGGAGCGAACAGGAUUAGAAACCCUAGUAGUCCCAUG
RNAcentral lists this ribosomal RNA (473 nucleotides) under uncultured organism. RNAcentral describes it as "partial 16S ribosomal RNA". It matches the Rfam family "Bacterial small subunit ribosomal RNA", at positions 335 to 799 of the family's 1533-position model. The record is from RNAcentral.